GGGGAAUAUUGGACAAUGGGGGCAACCCUGAUCCAGCAAUGCCGCGUGAGUGAUGAAGGCCUUCGGGUCGUAAAGCACUUUUCUGAGAGAUGAGAAAGGACAGUAUCUCAGGAAUAAGUCUCGGCUAACUACGUGCCAGCAGCCGCGGUAACACGUAGGAGGCGAGCGUUAUCCGGAUUCACUGGGCGUAAAGCGCGUGCAGGCGGUUUGGUAAGUUGAUCGUGAAAGCUCCCGGCUCAACUGGGAGAGGUCGUUCAAUACUACCGAACUAGAGAGUAGAAGAGGAAGAUGGAAUUCCCGGUGUAGUGGUGAAAUGCGUAGAUAUCGGGAGGAACACCAGUGGCGAAGGCGAUCUUCUGGUCUAUUUCUGACGCUCAGACGCGACAGCUAGGGUAGUAAA
RNAcentral lists this ribosomal RNA (400 nucleotides) under uncultured bacterium. RNAcentral's name for it is "bacterial SSU rRNA". It matches the Rfam family "Bacterial small subunit ribosomal RNA", at positions 356 to 772 of the family's 1533-position model. The record is from RNAcentral.